GCCGCAAAGGCAGCGCGGGUUCCCGUCCCCCUCGGCCAGGCUCCGCCUGCAGCCUUGGCCCCUUGGUGCUGUCGAGCCUGCCUUGCGACGCUGGGCUCGGCCUCAGGGAGAGGCCAGGGCCCCCUUCCAGCCUCACAGGAGUCAGCAGUGAGCCGCCGGCAGCCAGGGCCUCGGACCCAGAGGGCUGCUAAGCCUUGGCUCCAAGCCCGGUGUUGUGCAGCACGGCACAGCUCAAGCCCCAGCCGUAAAAGGCCAAGGCUCAUCAAACAUCUAGGGAGCGAAACCUAUGUUCUUCAGUAGAUGCGUGCGGUUUCAGGAAGAAUACAGUCCAAGCCUGGGGAUCUUCCAGCUGGAAACAGAAACUGAUGGAGUCUGUUUUCUCAAGGCUGAGGUUGCAUACUAUGGACAAGAUAGGCAGCUGAUGUAAAUCAGUGCAACUCCAUUACCUUUAACUACAUCAGUUUACAAAAGCUGAAGGUCCAGCUCUACAAGUGCUGUAAACUAAGCACUACGGGAAGAGUCAUGAAGAAGAUGAUAGCACAUCUUUGAAUUCCAUUAUGUUAGUUUACCUAAUUUAUGGUAUGUACUGCUUAGCGUGUUGAUUUUUUACUGUUAAUAGCAUAUAUUAUUAGAUACAAUAUAACUUACCACUUGGCUUCAUAACUUUAUGGACUCUGGAUGAAGGUUCUGAAAAGGAUACACAUAGUUAACGCUAGUGUUCCAAAGAAAGUUACUGGUAUCUUGGCCAACAUUUUAAAAUAUGCAUGCCAAAAUUUAAGCUCCUGAGUCCAUACAUAGGGACCUUGGGUUGGAUAAUGGAACUUGUGCUCCUAAAUCACGCAGGUGAUUUUGAAAAUCCUGUCCCUUAGGAACUAGCAUGGUUUGCAUAAGUACUGAGCACACAACUGAAGUCAAUGUAUGAGUUUGAAAUCAGUGGGAGUUGCUUAGCAUUUCUGAAAAUCAAGCCACUUGUUUAGGUGUCUAAAUUUGUACUUAGGAGCCUAAUUUGAGGCCUCCACUUUUGAAAAUCUUUGUCUAAAUUGCUGGAGAUUUAUUGCUCUAUUAGAAACAUUUGGUGAGAUUUGUAGUUUAGUGUAGGUUGAAAGUAUAAGUAUUGAGUGUUCCAAACAGGACCAUUCAGUUACUAUUUCACAUUGUCAAUGUAAUCUUACCUUGGAAGCAUUAUAUAGAAGAUUCUGCUUGAAAAACAACUGAAACACUUUAUUGACUUGAUUGUUUCUCAGUGGUAAUUGUUGCUUUAUGUUAAGUCACGAUAUCAAUAUUCCUGCAAACUAUACUUAAAUGACUUGGUAUAAACUGAGUAUUACAUUUCUCUGAUCUACUUGAUCACUGUCUCUUAAUAUUUAAUUAAGUAGUUGAAGACAGACAUAAUAAAAAGUUAGGAUGCAAAACUGGUCAAACUAUGUAAACAUUUUAACUGCAGCAAGAAAAACAAUAAAUAACCAGGAAAGGUUAUUAAAGAUGAAAAAAGACCAACAGUACCAUUUAUCAAAUCUCUAGCCUUCAGAAGGCUGAUAGGAUUCUGAUUUUAAGACAACAGGCUAAAUGUAAUUAAGGUAUUAAUUAUUCACCUUUUUAAAAAAUAAGCAUGUCAGUGUUACAUAAAGUACUUGGCUUUCUGAUAUAUGCAUAAAUAAAUAAAUACACACCCACAAACAUCCAUUGUUUUUUAAAGUGUGCAGUUUGGAUUUUAUGGUAACGUAAUAAAAUCAAAUGGCACAUAUACCAUAAGACUAUCAAAACAACCUGUUAAAAGAUACCUGUAUUUUUUCUCUAUCCAAUCCAUGAGUGUUUUACUAUGGCUUUAAAAUCUCACUUUGCCAUGACACUUGGCAAUAUACAUCCUAGAUGUGGAAAUAUGCAGCUUCAUUUGAAACCCACUGUCACCUCACGAAAAAAUUUAGCUGUAAGUAAUGUAUGUGUCUGUGUGUGUCUCUCUCUCUCUCUCUCUCUCUCUCACGCACACACACACACACACACACACACACACCCCCCUACCUCAAGAGAGGCAUCUAUCACUUUCAAAUAUACUCGGCACUGAAAAGACUCAAGUUCAGUUGUUUUUUUGAAAUUUUAGUUUAGUUUAAUUUUCGGCACAUUCCUACUUUUCUUCUAUGUUCAGUAGAUAGAAAUAAUAUUUUGUCUUUCUAUAGUACCUUCUAAGAAUCUCAAGUUACCCCUCAAACAUUAACUAACUUUUACAAUACCUGUGUGAAGUGAGCAGUAUUAAAUCCCACUGUAUAAACUGUAUGAGAUUAAGUGACAAGCUUAAGGUUACUAUGGUACAGUCAGGAAUGGAACCCAGGUCUUCUGGUUCCCAGUCUUGUGUCUUAUAAACCACAGAGCUUUCUCCUCGUCAUUCUCCAAAAACCUCUUAAACUAGGCUAAUAGCUUGUGAGGAAAGAAAAAAAAAAAAAACAAACCAAAAACCCACACACACUUUAUUAUGUGUUUGAGUGUAUGUGUUUUGAGUUUGAAGGAGCAAAACUGAUAACUAGAACAAACUGGAAAUUUUCCAGUGGACCAUUUUUCUGCCAGAAAAUCCCAUUUGUACCAUUCAGUGGGAAUGUCCAAUUACUACAGAAACAAGGCAGGUUUUCCCAUGGAAACCUGCCUGCCAACCAGGUUUUGAAACCUGCCAGCUUGCCUGCCCAGCUCCACAGGAACCUGGGUUCCCAGCUCCUCAGCAGCCAGCCAGCCAGCCUCC
This is a long non-coding RNA of Chelonia mydas (Green sea turtle), 2728 nucleotides long. RefSeq lists it as uncharacterized. The record is from RefSeq and is a predicted model, not a curated record. Lineage: Eukaryota; Metazoa; Chordata; Testudines; Cheloniidae. The transcript has 4 exons.